Long non-coding RNA from Astyanax mexicanus (Mexican tetra), 513 nucleotides. RefSeq lists it as uncharacterized. The transcript is spliced from 3 exons. The record is from RefSeq and is a predicted model, not a curated record. Lineage: Eukaryota; Metazoa; Chordata; Actinopteri; Characiformes; Acestrorhamphidae.
CGUAGAAGAAAGAGCGCGCGGGUUUUGCAGUUUUAGUGCUUAUAUACUAAACAAAGAGUCAUGGUAGCCUGGGCGCGAUCAAUCUUACUCGCCAAAAGGUCUGACAGCCUCGUACCCCCACAACACAUUUAAACCUUCUAACUGUGCCUGAGAUCAAACCUAGCCAGGAGAGAGAAAAAGAGAGAGACAGAAAGAAACUACCUUUACAAAACGCUUGCGUUCGGUUUAUUACUUAUUUUUUACGUGCUUUAGGAUCAAGCAAAAUCAGGCCUUUUACUGUUCUGCUUGAGGGUUUAGGAAGCUGUCAGAGUAUAAUGGAUGGGAUUGCUCUGAAGAGUGGGGCCUCUACAGCUUGAGCUGCACACCCACAGCAAGAAGCACGAGACAACGCAAAAACCCCAGGAGCUACCCUAGCAAAAGUGUUGUUAAAAAUGUUUUUAAGAAGUCUCUUUUUAAAGGAGCAGCAUGGAAUGUAUGACAUUGAAAAAACAAAUAAAAAUAAAAAACUCCAGA